GCCUCGUUGGUGUAGUGGUAUCAAUCGGACACGCCCUGGUAUCGUAGUCGAUUACAAAAGAAUACUCAGAGAGUCCUGGGUUCGACUCCCAGACGAGGCA
Molecule: non-coding RNA, 100 nt
Organism: Collybia nuda
Lineage: Eukaryota; Fungi; Basidiomycota; Agaricomycetes; Agaricales; Clitocybaceae
Source: the annotation of a GenBank genome assembly